AUGUAAAAAAACGUAGGUACGUAAACCGUUACAACUAAGUCAAAUACCUACGUAACUAUGUAAAUUUGGCAACAUUGCACUAAAUUCUUAGGUACAAAACCUACGGAAUCAUGAACGGAAUAGUGUUCUGCACUUCUAAAUCGAAUAAAGAAGGUGGAAAUCGGAAACGCGUACCUAUACAAGCUACGAAAAAAUAGGCAGUUACAAGAUUUUUAACAUCAAAAAUCAGAGCAGAAAAAAAAUUAUAACAUUAAGUCUAUGUUAAGUCAAAAACCCUAAAAAUACAUUGAGUUAUACGGCGAAGAGAGAUAUUCAUAUCCGAGUCUUAACCUCUUAAAGUUAUAAAAAUUGAAAUUUAAGUGCUCAAGACGGUCGGGGCUUCGUGUUUGUUUUAUAUUCGUGCCUGUACGUACUACGUAGAUUUUAUUUCCCGUCACGCGUCACUAUAUUGAGCGCCGAGGUGAGCUGAAGCGAGACACGUUGGACAACACCCGGUCACUGCAGUGUUCUGAGUGGCAUUUUUUUUUACUUUCAAACAUUGGUUGUAUUGCUAAAUACUAAUUAGUUUCCACUUCCUGAUUUUACUGCUGUUGCUGCAGUACUACUGCUGUUAGCUUCAAACUUAUAUUGGCGAU
Molecule: long non-coding RNA, 635 nt
Organism: Aphis gossypii (cotton aphid)
Lineage: Eukaryota; Metazoa; Arthropoda; Insecta; Hemiptera; Aphididae
Exons: 4
Source: RefSeq, a predicted model, not a curated record